CAUGAAAAGUGUAUUAUCCUCUCUUCAUGCUCUUCAAAGAUGCAGCUAAGCUGAAAUUAUGUGAUAUGUAUGGUUCAUCUGUAUAUUGAAGUCUGUCUCUCUUCAUCCAUUCAGAUACAUAGAUCAACCAUGAUGACUCUUUUCCUUCAUUCAAUUGACAAGAGACGCUGCACCCAACAAGAGCAGCCUUUUCAAGUGCACAUGGAGCAUUCCCCAAGAUAUGUCAUAGUGUGGGCCAUUACAUAUCUCAUGAAAUUUUAAAGAGUUGAUGUUAGGUUGUUUAAUUUGAGUAAAUAAGAAAGCUUCUGC
This 309-nucleotide long non-coding RNA is filed under the name Papio anubis (olive baboon). Its description in RNAcentral is "lncRNA (ENSPANG00000043593.1)". The record is from RNAcentral. Lineage: Eukaryota; Metazoa; Chordata; Mammalia; Primates; Cercopithecidae.